GGUCAAUUGAUCAUAUUUUCUUAAAUACAUCCGCCGCUGUGAGAGGCCAUCCCCCUGCUUUUUUUCUUCCCACGGUGUCAACUUGUGAUCUGUGUUCAUAUUUGGAAGAGGUUGGCUUGCUGGGUGUGGCUGUGGGGCAGUUCUCUCUUAGCUUUGGCUGGUAAGCUUUGUUUUGCUAGUCUUUUUAAGAGAGUUUCUCCUUAUUUUGGUUCAAUUCCGGUGAGUCUCUCUUGCUUAUCUCUUAUUGGCAGCGCUGCAAGGGGUGGAAGUUUCUAGGUUUUUGCUAAGUUGGUUGUAGGACAUGUUUGGUUAGGGUUUGGGUUGCUUAUAGGUAGAGAAUUUAUGUUGAUUUUGUAUUGGGUUCACGUCUUAGCCUUUU
This 379-nucleotide unclassified non-coding RNA is filed under the name Hevea brasiliensis (rubber tree). The record is from RNAcentral. Lineage: Eukaryota; Viridiplantae; Streptophyta; Magnoliopsida; Malpighiales; Euphorbiaceae.